AGAACGAACGCUGGCGGCAUGCCUAACACAUGCAAGUCGAACGCGUGUAGCGAUACACGAGUGGCGGACGGGUGAGUAACGCGUGGGAACCUGCCCUGGAGUGUGGGAUAACCGAGGGAAACUUCUGCUAAUACCGCAUACGACCUGAGGGUGAAAGAUUUAUCGCUCUAGGAGGGGCCCGCGUCGGAUUAGCUAGUUGGUGGGGUAAAGGCCUACCAAGGCAGUGAUCCGUAGCUGGUCUGAGAGGAUGAUCAGCCACACUGGGACUGAGACACGGCCCAGACUCCUACGGGAGGCAGCAGUGGGGAAUAUUGGACAAUGGGGGCAACCCUGAUCCAGCAAUGCCGCGUGAGUGAUGAAGGCCUUAGGGUUGUAAAGCUCUUUCGCGCGCGACGAUGAUGACGGUAGCGCGAGAAGAAGCCCGGCUAACUUCGCGCCAGCAGCCGC
RNAcentral lists this ribosomal RNA (447 nucleotides) under uncultured bacterium. RNAcentral describes it as "SSU rRNA". It matches the Rfam family "Bacterial small subunit ribosomal RNA", at positions 26 to 518 of the family's 1533-position model. The record is from RNAcentral.